This 75-nucleotide transfer RNA is filed under the name Lonepinella koalarum. Its description in RNAcentral is "tRNA-Ala". It matches the Rfam family "tRNA". Rfam says of the family: Transfer RNA (tRNA) molecules are approximately 80 nucleotides in length. Their secondary structure includes four short double-helical elements and three loops (D, anti-codon, and T loops). Further hydrogen bonds mediate the characteristic L-shaped molecular structure. tRNAs have two regions of fundamental functional importance: the anti-codon, which is responsible for specific mRNA codon recognition, and the 3' end, to which the tRNAs corresponding amino acid is attached (by aminoacyl-tRNA synthetases). tRNAs cope with the degeneracy of the genetic code in two manners: having more than one tRNA (with a specific anti-codon) for a particular amino acid; and 'wobble' base-pairing, i.e. permitting non-standard base-pairing at the 3rd anti-codon position. The record is from RNAcentral. Lineage: Bacteria; Pseudomonadati; Pseudomonadota; Gammaproteobacteria; Pasteurellales; Pasteurellaceae.
GGGAUAUAGCUCAGCUGGGAGAGCGCCUGCCUUGCACGCAGGAGGUCAGCGGUUCGAUCCCGCUUAUCUCCACCA